Molecule: ribosomal RNA, 467 nt
Filed under: uncultured bacterium
Lineage: Bacteria
Description: partial 16S ribosomal RNA
Rfam family: Bacterial small subunit ribosomal RNA
Source: RNAcentral
GACGAACGCUGGCGGCGUGCUUAACACAUGCAAGUCGAACGGAAAGGCCCUGCUUUUGUGGGGUGCUCGAGUGGCGAACGGGUGAGUAACACGUGAGUAACCUGCCCUUGACUUUGGGAUAACUUCAGGAAACUGGGGCUAAUACCGGAUAGGAGCUCCUGCUGCAUGGUGGGGGUUGGAAAGUUUCGGCGGUUGGGGAUGGACUCGCGGCUUAUCAGCUUGUUGGUGGGGCAGUGGCUUACCAAGGCUUUGACGGGUAGCCGGCCUGAGGGGGUGACCGGCCACAUUGGGACUGAGAUACGGCCCAGACUCCUACGGGAGGCAGCAGUGGGGAAUAUUGCACAAUGGGCGGAAGCCUGAUGCAGCAACGCCGCGUGCGGGAUGACGGCCUUCGGGUUGUAAACCGCUUUCGCCUGUGACGAAGCGUGAGUGACGGUAAUGGGUAAAGAAGCACCGGCUAACUACGU